This 468-nucleotide ribosomal RNA is filed under the name uncultured bacterium. RNAcentral describes it as "partial 16S ribosomal RNA". It matches the Rfam family "Bacterial small subunit ribosomal RNA", at positions 28 to 507 of the family's 1533-position model. The record is from RNAcentral.
GACGAACGCUGGCGGCGUGCUUAACACAUGCAAGUCGAACGGAAAGGCCCUGCUUUUGUGGGGUGCUCGAGUGGCGAACGGGUGAGUAACACGUGAGUAACCUGCCCUUGACUUUGGGAUAACUUCAGGAAACUGGGGCUAAUACCGGAUAGGAGCUCCUGCUGCAUGGUGGGGGUUGGAAAGUUUCGGCGGUUGGGGAUGGACUCGCGGCUUAUCAGCUUGUUGGUGGGGUAGUGGCUUACCAAGGCUUUGACGGGUAGCCGGCCUGAGAGGGUGACCGGCCACAUUGGGACUGAGAUACGGCCCAGACUCCUACGGGAGGCAGCAGUGGGGAAUAUUGCACAAUGGGCGGAAGCCUGAUGCAGCAACGCCGCGUGCGGGAUGACGGCCUUCGGGCUGUAAACCGCUUUCGCCUGUGACGAAGCGUGAGUGACGGUAAUGGGUAAAGAAGCACCGGAUAACUACGUG